This 346-nucleotide ribosomal RNA is filed under the name uncultured Anaerolineaceae bacterium. RNAcentral describes it as "bacterial SSU rRNA". It matches the Rfam family "Bacterial small subunit ribosomal RNA", at positions 1024 to 1382 of the family's 1533-position model. The record is from RNAcentral. Lineage: Bacteria; Bacillati; Chloroflexota; Anaerolineae; Anaerolineales; Anaerolineaceae.
GGGAGCCUAUACAGGUGUUGCAUGGCUGUCGUCAGCUCGUGUCGUGAGAUGUUCCGGUUAAGUCCGCUUAACGAGCGCAACCCUCGUCGUAUGUUAUAUGUGUCAUACGAGACUGCCGGUAAAAAGCCGGAGGAAGGUGAGGAUGAUGUCAAGUCAGCAUGACCUUUAUAUCCAGGGCUACACACACGCUACAAUGGUCUGUACAAUGGGUAGCCAAGCCGCGAGGCGGAGCCAAUCCUGAAAGCAGGCCUCAGUUCAGAUUGCAGUCUGCAACUCGACUGCAUGAAGCCGGAGUUGCUAGUGACCGCAGGUCGGCAAUACUGCGGUGAAUACGUUCCCGGGUCUU